This 614-nucleotide ribosomal RNA is filed under the name Lactarius sp. fo46778. Its description in RNAcentral is "LSU rRNA". It matches the Rfam family "Eukaryotic large subunit ribosomal RNA", at positions 38 to 625 of the family's 3401-position model. The record is from RNAcentral. Lineage: Eukaryota; Fungi; Basidiomycota; Agaricomycetes; Russulales; Russulaceae.
GCAUAUCAAUAAGCGGAGGAAAAGAAACUAACAAGGAUUCCCCUAGUAACUGCGAGUGAAGCGGGAAAAGCUCAAAUUUAAAAUCUGGCGGUCAUUGGCCGUCCGAGUUGUAAUUUAGAGAAGCGUCUUCCGCGCCGGACCGUGCACAAGUCUCCUGGAAUGGAGCGUCAUAGAGGGUGAGAAUCCCGUCUUUGGCACGGAUGCCUGGUGCUUCUGUGAUGCGCUCUCGAAGAGUCGAGUUGUUUGGGAAUGCAGCUCAAAAUGGGUGGUGAACUCCAUCUAAAGCUAAAUAUUGGCGAGAGACCGAUAGCGAACAAGUACCGUGAGGGAAAGAUGAAAAGCACUUUGGAAAGAGAGUGAAACAGUACGUGAAAUUGUUGAAAGGGAAACGCUUGAAGUCAGUCGCGUCGACCGAGACUCAGCCUUGCCUUGGCUUGGUGUACUUCUCGGCCCGACGGGUCAGCGUCAAUUUUGCCCCUCGGAUAAUGGCAAGGGAAAGGUGGCACCUUUGCGGGUGUGUUAUAGUCUCCUGUCGCAUGCGAGGGGUGGGAUUGAGGAACUCAGCGCGCGCCUCGGUGUCGGGGCCUUUGGGCCCACGUCACGCGCUUAGGAUG